Molecule: ribosomal RNA, 402 nt
Filed under: uncultured bacterium
Lineage: Bacteria
Description: bacterial SSU rRNA
Rfam family: Bacterial small subunit ribosomal RNA
Source: RNAcentral
GGGAAUAUUGCACAAUGGAGGAAACUCUGAUGCAGCGACGCCGCGUGAGUGACGAAGGCCUUCGGGUUGUAAAGCUCUGUUCUCAGGGAAAAAGAAAGUGAUUGUACCUGAGAAGAAAGGACCGGCUAACUUCGUGCCAGCAGCCGCGGUAAGACGAGGGGUCCAAGCGUUGUUCGGAAUUAUUGGGCGUAAAGCGGGUGUAGGUGGCUCUAUAAGUCAGGAGUGAAAGCCCCGAGCUCAACUUGGGAAGUGCUUUUGAUACUGUAGAGCUUGAAUGUGGGAGAGGAUCGUGGAAUUCCAGGUGUAGUGGUGAAAUACGUAGAUAUCUGGAGGAACACCGGUGGCGAAGGCGGCGAUCUGGCCCAACAUUGACACUGAGACCCGAAAGCGUGGGGAUCAAAC